CAUGCAAGUCGAGCGAUGAAGUUCCUUCGGGAAUGGAUUAGCGGCGGACGGGUGAGUAACACGUGGGUAACCUGCCUCAUAGAGGGGAAUAGCCUUCCGAAAGGAAGAUUAAUACCGCAUAAUGUAGUACCUUCGCAUGAAGGAACUAUCAAAAGAGCAAUCUGCUAUGAGAUGGACCCGCGGCGCAUUAGCUAGUUGGUGAGGUAACGGCUCACCAAGGCGACGAUGCGUAGCCGACCUGAGAGGGUGAUCGGCCACAUUGGAACUGAGACACGGUCCAGACUCCUACGGGAGGCAGCAGUGGGGAAUAUUGCGCAAUGGGGGAAACCCUGACGCAGCAACGCCGCGUGAAUGAAGAAGGCCUUCGGGUUGUAAAGUUCUGUCUUAUGGGAAGAUAAUGACGGUACCAUAGGAGGAAGCCACGGCUAACUACGUGCCAGCAGCCGCGGUAAUACGUAGGUGGCAAGCGUUGUCCGGAUUUACUGGGCGUAAAGGAUGCGUAGGCGGAUAUUUAAGUGGGAUGUGAAAUACCUG
RNAcentral lists this ribosomal RNA (534 nucleotides) under Clostridium sp. AL03-4. Its description in RNAcentral is "bacterial SSU rRNA". It matches the Rfam family "Bacterial small subunit ribosomal RNA", at positions 54 to 605 of the family's 1533-position model. Lineage: Bacteria; Bacillati; Bacillota; Clostridia; Eubacteriales; Clostridiaceae. The record is from RNAcentral.